GGGUGAGUAACACGUGGAUAACCUACCUAUAAGACUGGGAUAACUUCGGGAAACCGGAGCUAAUACCGGAUAAUAUUUUGAACCGCAUGGUUCAAAAGUGAAAGACGGUCUUGCUGUCACUUAUAGAUGGAUCCGCGCUGCAUUAGCUAGUUGGUAAGGUAACGGCUUACCAAGGCAACGAUGCAUAGCCGACCUGAGAGGGUGAUCGGCCACACUGGAACUGAGACACGGUCCAGACUCCUACGGGAGGCAGCAGUAGGGAAUCUUCCGCAAUGGGCGAAAGCCUGACGGAGCAACGCCGCGUGAGUGAUGAAGGUCUUCGGAUCGUAAAACUCUGUUAUUAGGGAAGAACAUAUGUGUAAGUAACUGUGCACAUCUUGACGGUACCUAAUCAGAAAGCCACGGCUAACUAC
RNAcentral lists this ribosomal RNA (413 nucleotides) under uncultured Staphylococcus sp. Its description in RNAcentral is "bacterial SSU rRNA". It matches the Rfam family "Bacterial small subunit ribosomal RNA", at positions 104 to 504 of the family's 1533-position model. Lineage: Bacteria; Bacillati; Bacillota; Bacilli; Caryophanales; Staphylococcaceae. The record is from RNAcentral.